Molecule: ribosomal RNA, 301 nt
Filed under: uncultured bacterium
Lineage: Bacteria
Description: partial 16S ribosomal RNA
Rfam family: Bacterial small subunit ribosomal RNA
Source: RNAcentral
CAGUCGCCGCGGGAAUACGGAGGGUGCAAGCGUUAAUCGGAAUUACUGGGCGUAAAGCGUGCGUAGGCGGUUCGUUAAGUCUGUUGUGAAAGCCCCGGGCUCAACCUGGGAAUGGCAAUGGAUACUGGCGAGCUAGAGUGUGUCAGAGGAUGGUGGAAUUCCCGGUGUAGCGGUGAAAUGCGUAGAGAUCGGGAGGAACAUCAGUGGCGAAGGCGGCCAUCUGGGACAACACUGACGCUGAGGCACGAAAGCGUGGGGAGCAAACAGGAUUAGAUACCCGCGUAGUCCCUGUCUCUUAUAA